RNAcentral lists this transfer RNA (58 nucleotides) under Apaloderma vittatum (bar-tailed trogon). It matches the Rfam family "tRNA", at positions 9 to 63 of the family's 71-position model. From Rfam's summary of the family: Transfer RNA (tRNA) molecules are approximately 80 nucleotides in length. Their secondary structure includes four short double-helical elements and three loops (D, anti-codon, and T loops). Lineage: Eukaryota; Metazoa; Chordata; Aves; Trogoniformes; Trogonidae. The record is from Rfam by way of RNAcentral.
AGCUCAGUCAGUUAGAGCACGGUGCUGGUAACACCAAGGUCGUGGGUUCGAUCCCCGU